CGCAAAGGGGGCAGGCUACCAUGCAGUCGAGCGGUAGCACAGAGAGCUUGCUCUCGGGUGACGAGCGGCGGACGGGUGAGUAAUGUCUGGGAAACUGCCUGAUGGAGGGGGAUAACUACUGGAAACGGUAGCUAAUACCGCAUAACGUCGCAAGACCAAAGUGGGGGACCUUCGGGCCUCAUGCCAUCAGAUGUGCCCAGAUGGGAUUAGCUGGUAGGUGGGGUAACGGCUCACCUAGGCGACGAUCCCUAGCUGGUCUGAGAGGAUGACCAGCCACACUGGAACUGAGACACGGUCCAGACUCCUACGGGAGGCAGCAGUGGGGAAUAUUGCACAAUGGGCGCAAGCCUGAUGCAGCCAUGCCGCGUGUGUGAAGAAGGCCUUCGGGUUGUAAAGCACUUUCAGCGGGGAGGAAGGCGAUGAGGUUAAUAACCUUGCCGAUUGACGUUACCCGCAGAAGAAGCACCGGCUAACUCCGUGCCAGCAGCCGCGGUAAUACGGAGGGUGCAAGCGUUAAUCGGAAUUACUGGGCGUAAAGCGCACGCAGGCGGUCUGUCAAGUCGGAUGUGAAAUCCCCGGGCUCAACCUGGGAACUGCAUUCGAAACUGGCAGGCUAGAGUCUUGUAGAGGGGGGUAGAAUUCCAGGUGUAGCGGUGAAAUGCGUAGAGAUCUGGAGGAAUACCGGUGGCGAAGGCGGCCCCCUGGACAAAGACUGACGCUCAGGUGCGAAAGCGUGGGGAGCAAACAGGAUUAGAUACCCUGGUAGUCCACGCUGUAAACGAUGUCGAUUUGGAGGUUGUGCCCUUGAGGCGUGGCUUCCGGAGCUAACGCGUUAAAUCGACCGCCUGGGGAGUACGGCCGCAAGGUUAAAACUCAAAUGAAUUGACGGGGGCCCGCACAAGCGGUGGAGCAUGUGGUUUAAUUCGAUGCAACGCGAAGAACCUUACCUGGUCUUGACAUCCACAGAACUUACCAGAGAUGCAUUGGUGCCUUCGGGAACUGUGAGACAGGUGCUGCAUGGCUGUCGUCAGCUCGUGUGUGAAAUGUUGGUAGUCCCGCACGAGCGCAACCCUUAUCUUUGUUGCAGCGUCAGCGGGACUCAAGGAGACUGCAGUGAUACUGAGAGGUGGGAUGACGUCAGUCAUCAUGUCCUACGACAGGCCUACCACUGGCUACAUUGCCAACAAAGAGCGACUUCGAAGCAGCGGACCUCAUAAGUAUUGUUCAUAGUUCCGAAUUGGGGAUCUGUGCCA
RNAcentral lists this ribosomal RNA (1253 nucleotides) under Klebsiella sp. RNAcentral describes it as "bacterial SSU rRNA". It matches the Rfam family "Bacterial small subunit ribosomal RNA", at positions 34 to 1312 of the family's 1533-position model. The record is from RNAcentral. Lineage: Bacteria; Pseudomonadati; Pseudomonadota; Gammaproteobacteria; Enterobacterales; Enterobacteriaceae.